This is a long non-coding RNA of Austrofundulus limnaeus, 3694 nucleotides long. RefSeq lists it as uncharacterized. The record is from RefSeq and is a predicted model, not a curated record. NCBI's taxonomy places the organism in Eukaryota, Metazoa, Chordata, Actinopteri, Cyprinodontiformes, Rivulidae. The transcript has 4 exons.
GUGGCAAUCAUCUGGAAAUGAGUUGACUUCAAAAGUUCAUCAGUUGCAGAUCCAAUGGUUACUUUAUGAGAGCUUCAUUAAAAUCUGUUAAUGAGUUAUUUUCCAGAUAUUUAGAGCAGAUCGUUAGCAAAGCUUUUUUAAGAAAACACAUUUGCCAGUGUCUUUGCGAUGUUCUGUGCUGUUGAUUACUUUGCAGAUGUGAUGCUUAAAGACAGAAAAACCCAGGGCACAGGCAAAAUCCAAAAUGUAAAAAAAAAAGGCUUUAAUACAAAAAAGGCUGGYGAGGCAACUCAAAAUUUCUUACAAAAUCUCAGGGGAACAUGAGGAACACAGAGAACACCACACUGUCUGGUAACAGCACGAUGAUCAAACACCAGACUGAGGACAAGACACCAAAACAUAAAGGGAAACUAAUUAGAGACAACGAGAAACACCUGGAGGAGACACAAGAGGAAACAGGUGAGCAGAGGCGGGGCUGGAGGCAAGACAGCAGGGCAGAGAUACAAAGAGGAACACAGAAACACUAAAGCUAAAGGAAAAAGACACAAAUCGUGACAGCAGAUCCAAUGAAGCAAACUUGUGGACCAGAAAUGGACCGGGGGGCGCCAGCUGUCAAUCGCUUGUUUGGGUUCACAUUAUUUAAGAAUCGUUUUUCAUCAGUGAGUCACAGAAUGUUUUAUAAAACAGCAUUUUGUGACCUGAGGCUUAAAGGUGUGGGGUACAGCAGUGCAAUACAGUAAUAACCCAAAUAAAAUUAAGUUUUAGGAUGAAUAAAUCACAAUUUAUGAGUUGUACAAUUAAAACGUUAUAGGAAGAAUAAGUAGAGACAGUUUUGUGGAUAAGGAUGGUCCAAAAUGCUUCUUCAUUCUUUUAUAUUUAAUGAAGUCCUAUUUUUUUAAUAUAGUGCUAGCUGAAAAAUAAAAGAAAAUGAGACAUUUAGAUGAAAUCUACACAGAAUCCCUGGAAAUAUAUGUAAUAAUAGCUCUGCAGUUGUGUGAAUGUGAGCUAAAUAUGAUUUCUGUUCAAUAUUUCAUGGACCAAACUCUCUCCUUGCUGUGUUAGAGUGUGUGUGGCUGCUGUACAGAUGUUACCCAGGGACAAAUAAGCAUCACAAACUCCCCUGCUACAUUUUUCAGCAGGAUGUCUUGGUUUUCKUUUUUCACCAGCCAGACGGAUGGAGAAAGAGUCUGUGCAUAAGCUGUCUCCCCGUGCACACAUAUAUAGAUUGUCUCAAGUUGAUGAAUCAGCUGCAGGAUAUAAAGGCUUCAGAGACCACGGCAUGUGAAAAGAUCUUUCUUCACUAACAGGAGGAGAGAAUAAGUCAUUAAUAAUGGGAUGCAGGGACGUUCCUCUGGAUGGGAAGAAAUGCUGAAUGAAUCCUGACGGGUUGCUGGAGAGGCAAGGAGGCACCAAAAAAAGAAAAAGAGGGGAAAAAAAGAAAAGGAAGAACAUUUGCAAGCUUCUGGAAAGAAAAGGGAGGAGAGAGGGAGCGGUAUGACUCAGAGCACAGCAGUGAGAAGAGACACUGUAUUCUGCAUGCGAGAGGAGCAGCAGCAGGGAGGGAGCCAGAGGAACACCAAGGAGAACGUGGAGAAAAAGCCAAGGAGGACUUGACCAGAGCUGAGCUCGCCGUUGGACGAAAGGACGGGAUGAGGACGGAGGCUGCCGCACCGGCAAGCAGUUAGCAGGAAAUAGGCCGAGUGAAUCAGCCUGCUGGGGGGGAGAGGGAGAAAGGAAGAGGGUGAGUUUUGAAAGUUAAGCAUUUUAGGAUGACUGACGCCAGCUGAGGGAAGGUUAAAUUAAGGUUUUGCUGCGGGGACCUGGACUUUGGACGCCGAGUGGCAAAGGUCACGAGGGCUGGCUUAAUGAACAAUUUCUCGAGCUUGUCUUUGAGCGAUUUUUCUCCUGCUACGAGGGAGAGGAAGCAUGACUGAAGACGGUUGACCAAAAAUGACGACGAAGGGUACAAAUGAUGGCAAGUCAAUGCAACAUUUAAGAGCCAAACAGAAAAAAGAACUGAAGUGAGAAAAAAUGGGGACAUGGAAACACACCAAGAGGAUCCUGUUAAAUAUUGAUGCUGGCAGGCCUUUUCUGAAAGCUUGGACAGUUGAUUUUCUAUUCUGAAGGAUUUUGUUUCUCUGAACAGACAACUCACAUCAACCAAAGGGAUGCUCACAGCAAAUUCUCACAAUACCUUAAAAGUGCAGGCUUGGCUUCCUGGAGGACUUUUUUUUGGACAACUGUGUAACCCCUUAGGAAGAGUCCAAAAAUGAGAUUUUGAUGUGGAACACACAAAUAAGUGGGAGACUGACGUGUUUCGUCUUCUCUAACAGAUUCUCUGCAUCACUGCCUGAAGAGAUUAACCAGCCCUCCAGAUCCAAAUGUACCUGUUUUGACUUCCGUUUUUCACGACCCAGAGUAAACUAGAGAACUUUGAUCACCAUUGGUAUGGAGGAUGUCUGAAAUGGAGGCAAGAUGCAUUGUUUGUUUUUGCUUCCUUGACUGACUAAAGGUGCAAUGAGCUAUAAUGUCAUAAAGGCACUGUUAGAAACCACCUUCUCCAACUUAAACCAGCUACAACACAGCGCUACAGCCUUCGUCCAGCUGUAGACAGAUCAGCCGUGGGUCUAUGUGGACCAAUGUCGGGGGUGCGUGAGCACUGUCGAGGAUGUCGACUGUGUUUCCUUGUAUAGAUUUUAACGUGCAAUUGCAUUAUAGACUUUGUCGCCAGCUGUUUCUGGGUGUAUUUUCAGAGCUCUCUUUGUGUGUGUGUCUGUGUGUGUAUAUGUUGCCUGGAUUCUUCCCCCUCUCAGUGACAGAGCUGGACCUGAACAGCAGUGGUAAAUCAGGGGAAAGGGAGGGCAAAGAGGAAAAAAAGAAGAUGAAAGAAACGAGCAGGAAUGGAAAACCCUGGAAACAUGCUUGGAUAAAAAGAAUUGACAAAGUCCUUGGCUGCCCCCCCAGUACAAUGUGUGGCGUGGCGGACUCUCGGGGUGGGGUUCUGUAAUGGUAACCAUGAUCCCCGGCAGCCACUAUGUCUGCAGCGCUCAUGCAAGAGAGGAUGACUCCACUAACGACCGCGAGGAGCGGAUUUUAGCCGUGCUGGGCAUCAUUGGAACCAUCCUGAAUCUUUUGGUGGUUAUAUUUGUCUACAUCUACACCUCCGUCACUUAAGUUUUCUCUACAAGACUUGAAGAAGAAACAAUGGGACACAUGUUCCCUCCCACUGCCAACUUUCUCUAAUAAGUAUUUAAGUAUUUCAAAGCAUUGAUUUUUCACAGCAGCACUCAGUAGAACGGAUCAUUUUUACAGUGUAUAUUCAACUGGAUAGUGGCCACAUUUUUCACAACAUCUGCAAAUUUAAUUUAAAAGAGGAAGUAGAAUCACUCAGACUUUUUUGGCACUGUUUGUAUUAAACUUCAUCUUUGCAUUUUUACACAUUUCCUUGUCUUAAAUGCCUGCCAAUAGCAACAGCUAUAUAUUUCUUACAAUAUGUCUUUUUAACUGGAAAAUGCUGUUGUGACUCUGCAGGCAGCUGAAGAGGAAUUAUUUUGUGUUUGGUCUGAUAGUGGUCAUGUUCUGACUGGGCUGCAUCAUUCACUGUGUUUUAUGUCUCUGUGAAAGUUUGCUACAUUUAAAAUAAUCUCACUGCCAACUAAAAUUGCAACGUGAAUUUCUAAAAAAAAAAAAAAAA